UACAGAGGGUGCAAGCGUUGUUCGGAAUUAUUGGGCGUAAAGCGCGUGUAGGCGGCUUUGCAAGUCGGGUGUGAAAGCCCUCAGCUUAACUGAGGAAGUGCGCCCGAAACUGCUUGGCUUGAGUACCGGAGAGGAUGGCGGAAUUCCCCAAGUAGAGGUGAAAUUCGUAGAUAUGGGGAGGAACACCGGUGGCGAAGGCGGCCAUCUGGACGGAUACUGACGCUGAGACGCGACAGCGUGGGGAGCAAACAGG
RNAcentral lists this ribosomal RNA (253 nucleotides) under uncultured bacterium. Its description in RNAcentral is "partial 16S ribosomal RNA". It matches the Rfam family "Bacterial small subunit ribosomal RNA", at positions 524 to 776 of the family's 1533-position model. The record is from RNAcentral.